CGGCAGCGAGGUCCCAAAGAGUUGGACACAACUGAGCGACUAACACUUUCACUUUCUGACAGGUGGAGAAAAAGGACAAGCAACAGGAUGAUUGGAAAAGUAACUCAAAAGCAAACAUCUCUACCACCAGGACAUCAAUGAAACACAAAGCAGAAAGCCUCUGCAGAUCCAGAAUGACACGCUGUCAGGAAGCAAAGGAUGGCUGCCAUCACCAGGCACCUCCAUUAACAAGCUCAACAUCAACCCUAAACAUUUUUUAUCUUUUCAAAAACCAACACUGAGGCCAGAAAUGUCAAAGCAAGCAGGCAUUCACACAUUGUGUUCAGAGUAUGAAUCAGUGAAGUUGCUCAGUCGUGUCCGACUCUUUGUGACCACAUGGACUGUAGCCUACCAGGCUCCUCCAUCCAUGGAAUUUUCCAGGCAAGACUACUGGAGUGGGUUGCCAUUUCCUUCUCCAGUUCAGAGCAUGACCUUGCCGAAAUCCUGAAGGCUGGGCAGCAAGGUUAGAGCACAUUAUUACACACUCCUAUCUCCCAAGUGCUCUGGGAAGAAGGUGUCUAGGUUAACUGUCUGGUUAGCCACACUCCCAUGUAUAUUGUACCAGAGGAGGACAUUUCCUCUUUGUGUGGUGUGAUUCAGAACCCCUAAGGGUCUUGUGAGGAGUGACUCACUGCCAGUAAGAAAAACUGGAUACUGAAAAACGAAAUAAUUGCUCUCAAUCAGGAUAGAUAAAUUAGAGACUACAGACCAUGGAAUAACAAGCAGUAUCAACCCCAGCAAGAAGAAGUUUCUUCAGUGAUUAUAAACCAAAAAUCUUUAUAAACUGAUCGCCUUUCAUAAUCCACAAAUAAUACAAGGUUAGGAGCUUGGUUUAAGGUUAAGACACAUUCCUGAAUGGAAGUUGCUGAAAGCUAACAUGAGGAAAAACACCUUAAAUCUAUCUCACCUAUAAAUAACUUAUUUCUUUGAUUUUUCCAUCAACUGUCAUCCAUUCUGUUAUGGUUUGAUUUAAAUUUGGAUUGCUGCAGGAGUUAAAAUGGAAGCGAGCCCUUAAAUUACAGUUCACCAGAAACAGAGACUGAGAAUGGCUGUAAAGACCCGAUUUAUUUCCCUCAGUGGGCUAUUAUCUGAAAGCACCUCUCUGUAUUUAAAUUAAACUCUGGCUCUAUUUAUCUCA
Molecule: long non-coding RNA, 1177 nt
Organism: Bubalus bubalis (water buffalo)
Lineage: Eukaryota; Metazoa; Chordata; Mammalia; Artiodactyla; Bovidae
Exons: 2
Source: RefSeq, a predicted model, not a curated record